UGAUCCUGGCUCAGGACGAACGCUGGCGGCGUGCCUAAUACAUGCAAGUCGAGCGGACAGAUGGGAGCUUGCUCCCUGAUGUUAGCGGCGGACGGGUGAGUAACACGUGGGUAACCUGCCUGUAAGACUGGGAUAACUCCGGGNAACCGGGNCUNAUACCGGAUGGUUGUUUGAACCGCAUGGUUCANACAUANAAGGUGGCUUCGGCUACCACUUACAGAUGGACCCGCGGCGCAUUAGNUAGUUGGUGAGGUAACGGCUCACCAAGGCNACGAUGCGUAGCCGACCUGAGAGGGUGAUCGGCCACACUGGGACUGAGACNCGGCCCAGACUCNUAGCGGGAGGCAGCAGUAUGGGAAUCUNCCGCAAUGAAANAAAGUCUGAACGGAGCAACGCCGCGUGAGUGAUGAAGGUUUUCGGAUCGUAAGAGCUCUGUUGUUAGGGAAG
RNAcentral lists this ribosomal RNA (447 nucleotides) under Bacillus subtilis. Its description in RNAcentral is "partial 16S rRNA". It matches the Rfam family "Bacterial small subunit ribosomal RNA", at positions 14 to 447 of the family's 1533-position model. Lineage: Bacteria; Bacillati; Bacillota; Bacilli; Caryophanales; Bacillaceae. The record is from RNAcentral.